AAAUUUAGGUUAACGACAAACCAAGGACCUUCAAAGCCCUAAAUAGGUACUAAUUUCUGAAGACCUG
RNAcentral lists this transfer RNA (67 nucleotides) under Gekko monarchus. Its description in RNAcentral is "tRNA-Trp". Lineage: Eukaryota; Metazoa; Chordata; Lepidosauria; Squamata; Gekkonidae. The record is from RNAcentral.